This 229-nucleotide ribosomal RNA is filed under the name uncultured bacterium. RNAcentral describes it as "partial 16S ribosomal RNA". It matches the Rfam family "Bacterial small subunit ribosomal RNA", at positions 568 to 796 of the family's 1533-position model. The record is from RNAcentral.
UGCGUAGGCGGAAUGAUAAGUUAGUGGUGAAAGCCCCCGGCUCAACCGGCGAACUGCCAUUAAUACUGUCAUUCUUGAGUAUAGUUGAAGUGGGCGGAAUGUAUCAUGUAGCGGUGAAAUGCUUAGAUAUGAUACAGAACACCGAUAGCGUAGGCAGCUUGCUAAACUAUAACUGACGCUCAGGCACGAAAGCGUGGGGAGCAAACAGGAUUAGAUACCCUGGUAGUCC